Long non-coding RNA from Dipodomys ordii (Ord's kangaroo rat), 1189 nucleotides. RefSeq lists it as uncharacterized. NCBI's taxonomy places the organism in Eukaryota, Metazoa, Chordata, Mammalia, Rodentia, Heteromyidae. The transcript has 2 exons. The record is from RefSeq and is a predicted model, not a curated record.
UUCCCUCCCUCCCUCCCUCCCUCCCUCCCUCCCUUCCGGUACUAUUAGAGCAGGAACGCAGGGCCUUGCCUUCUGCUCGCAGCUGUCUCCACCCUUUUGCUGUAGUUGGUCGCAGCUGGGGUCUUCCGCUGUUGCCAGCGCCAGCCUUGCCCUCGUCUAUGGAUCGAGCUGGGGUCUUGUAAAGUUUCCUGCCCCGACUGUCCUUGAACCCAUCCUCCUUGUGACUGCCGUCUCCGGAGUGGCGAGGGUUCUUACAGACCUGAGCCUGCUCAUGCCUCACUUGGACUCUUCCUUUUUUUCUUCAGCCAUCUAUCUUGGCAAUUUCUAGAACAUGCCCUUUGGGAUGUUUUGUUUUGCCUAGAAACCUCCAGGUAGAGGUUUAUCGCCACUGCUGGUUUGCUUUGCUUUCCAGAGACCUGUGGCUCUGGGUUUUAGGGAGAAGGGACCUAUUCAUUUGCAAGGAACAAGACAUGAGCAAGUCUGUCCUAGAUGCCCGCAUCUCAGGGGCCUGGCCCCUGUGGGUGGUGCCCACUACCCUGGCAGAUGAUCUCCUCACAGGCGUGGCGCGUUUGUUCAUUCUGGAAUCUGGGAGCUCUGCAGUUCAGAGUUCCGAGACACCUGUCGGGAGAAACCAGUCCUGAAGGCGGAAACUUUCCUGCUGUCUGGCGACCCUACGGGAACUAAUGCUUUCCUGUUCAUUUCCAGGCUGGCACAGCCAAAGAUUUGUAGCCUGGUGGCAACCAGAUCUACUUCUUACCUGCUUUUUCAAGAGGAUGCUACCUUGCCAUCUUGGGAUCUCUGUCUUGAAGAAGGCCCCUUCUCCCUCAAUUUCCAAUUUCCCAUGGGAGGUGUGUGACAAGUUGUGCUGUUGCUCACUGCUUUUUGCUUCUUUGUGUCCUGUCGGGGAAUGAUAGCGUUGCUAAUUUACAGUCUGAAAUGUUUACACUGCUUCCUCUAAGGACAAGUCUGUUUUAGUAAGCUGUGAAGCUAUUUUACUUGGGUCACUGGAUUGUGGCCAAUACCCCCAAAGUGAAGGAGCUCCAUGUAUCAAGUAUAAACCUCUUUGGAAAUUUUCCAAAGUCUUAGUAUGUCUUUGUGACACAGAAAACUGGGACGGGCUGGGUAACUGGAAUGUUCCUAGUGUGUGACUGUUACUGUGCUCUAGAAAUAAAUCACUUUUCCACACCUG